RNAcentral lists this long non-coding RNA (203 nucleotides) under Daucus carota (carrot). RNAcentral's name for it is "long non-coding RNA (DCAR_LNC007593)". Lineage: Eukaryota; Viridiplantae; Streptophyta; Magnoliopsida; Apiales; Apiaceae. The record is from RNAcentral.
GCCCUAGUAGGACGAGUUUUGUCUCGUGAGGGUUUAUAGUGAAUCUACCCACAAAAUUCAUUAUUUUCUACCAAGCGUCGGAUAUGCAACUACUAUGAAUGCAAACUAAAUGAAUAUGCCUAAAAACAAAUCAUGAAAGCAUCAACCUCGUCAAUAUAUAUCCUCAGAAUAUGCAACAAUCAAGGCAUUCAUCUAUCUCACAU